RNAcentral lists this long non-coding RNA (1066 nucleotides) under Mus spicilegus (steppe mouse). RNAcentral's name for it is "lncRNA (ENSMSIG00000031091.1)". Lineage: Eukaryota; Metazoa; Chordata; Mammalia; Rodentia; Muridae. The record is from RNAcentral.
CUUUAUUUAUUCUGUAUUUGCAUUCUGAACGGUAGGCUCCAUUUGAAAGGUAUGACAGGACAGGAGUUUGGGCAUCAUCUUUUAGACAGUACAGAGCUCUUGGAGCUUUUGCACAAACAAAGGGUACAUAGAAGGGGGUGUUGCUGAGAAAUGAUGGUGGCUAUGGCAUUUGCAGGGGACUCAACAAGAAGUAACAGGGGCCAGAGGGAGAGUCCCUCUAGGACUGUUGCUAUGACUCCAAAAAAAUCCUAAGAACCUGGGCUCGGGUAUUGGUUGAGUGGAAGAGUCAAAGUGUAAGGGACUCAUCAACCGCCAUCAUCAACUGCCAGCGCUGGGUGAUGGAAGACGUUGGAAUGUGUCUUCAAGACAAUCCAUGGGUUAAACAUGAGGUCUGGCAAAGGGCCAGCAAGCAACCAUCGGAGAGAUGUAGAAUGGUCAAUGGAUGGAGCUGAAACCUCAGGGGUUACAGAGGAUACCUCCAGAGCCACUGAUGAGCGCAGAUGGAUUUCAAGCGCCCCAUCUCCGUCCAGUCUGGGCAGGUUUCGCUUUAACUCUUAAAUUACUGUGGGUUGACUGGACUUGAACAUUCCAUUACUAAAAUGAAGUUUGAAAGUCAAUGCUGGAAGACUUGGCCUACUGCAAAUGAAACACGAUUGCGAUUCGCUGCGAGAAAAAGCUAAACAACCUAAAGGUCCAUAAACAAGGGAAGAAUUAUACUGACUGUGGCCUAGCCCAUGUGUGAACUGUUAGACGUGACCAACAAGAGCCCUGCACAGAAAUCAACCAGCACAGGGGCGCCCUUGUUUUGUUCAGGGCCUGGAUCAAGUUUCAGGAUGAGGCAUCAGGUAUCACACUUACAGCACAAAGCCAAUCCUCUGUUAUUUUUGUGUAGGCUGAUAUGAAGGAUGAAAUAAGUGGGCAGUGCAUCAGAUCAGAUUGAUAGGAUUUUUUUUUUGGAAGUGGGGGAAGCCCUGCAAUUAAAAGAGGUUACAAUAACCACAUUUUAUUUAAUUUCUUAGUGUGGGGCUGGGGAUCCUUCUGCACUGGAUAUGUGGUUAUUGGCCAG